This 465-nucleotide ribosomal RNA is filed under the name uncultured bacterium. Its description in RNAcentral is "partial 16S ribosomal RNA". It matches the Rfam family "Bacterial small subunit ribosomal RNA", at positions 338 to 795 of the family's 1533-position model. The record is from RNAcentral.
CCUACGGGGGGCAGCAGUAGGGAAUCUUCCACAAUGGGCGAAAGCCUGAUGGAGCAACGCCGCGUGGGUGAAGAAGGUCUUCGGAUCGUAAAACCCUGUUGUUAGAGAAGAAAGUGCGUGCGAGUAACUGUUCACGUUUCGACGGUAUCUAACCAGAAAGCCACGGCUAACUACGUGCCAGCAGCCGCGGUAAUACGUAGGCGGCAAGCGUUAUCCGGAUUUAUUUGGCGUAAAGGGCACGCAGGCGGUCUUUUAAGUCUGAUGUGAAAGCCUUCGGCUUAACCGGGGUAGUGCAUUGGAAACUGGGGGACUUGAGUGCAGAAGAGGAGAGUGGAACUCCAGGUGUAGCGGUGAAAUGCGUAGAUAUAGGGAAGAACACCAGUGGCGAAAGCGGCUCUCUGGUCUGUAACUGACGCUGAGGUUCGAAAGCGUGGGUAGCAAACAGGAUUAGAUACCCUAGUAGUC